GAGUGGAGCCUGCGGCUUAAUUUGACUCAACACGGGAAAACUCACCUGGUCCGGACACUGGAAGGAUUGACAGAUUGAAAGCUCUUUCUUGAUUCAGUGGGUGGUGGUGCAUGGCCGUUCUUAGUUGGUGGAGUGAUUUGUCUGGUUAAUUCCGAUAACGAACGAGACUCUAGCCUGCUAACUAGUUCGCCGACAGCUCGUUGUCGCGCGGCGCCAUUUCGGUGGCAAACUUCUUAGAGGGACAGGUGGCGUAUAGCCACACGAAGUAGAGCAAUAACAGGUCUGUGAUGCCCUUAGAUGUCCAGGGCCGCACGCGCGCUACACUGAAAGAAUCAACGUGGAUGCCCACCUGCUCCGAGAGGAGUGGGAAACCCGAUGAAUCUCUUUCGUGAUGGGGAUUGGGGCUUGUAAUUAUUCCCCAUGAACGAGGAAUUCCCAGUAAGCGUCAGUCAUCAGCUGGCGUUGAUUACGUCCCUGCCCUUUGUACACACCGCCCGUCGCUACUACCGAUUGAAUGGUUUAGUGAGACCCUCGGACUGGAAUCCGUUUGCUGCUUUCGGGUGGCGGACGGGGACGGAAAGACGGUCG
RNAcentral lists this ribosomal RNA (588 nucleotides) under Haliotis jacnensis. RNAcentral's name for it is "SSU rRNA". It matches the Rfam family "Eukaryotic small subunit ribosomal RNA", at positions 1174 to 1761 of the family's 1831-position model. The record is from RNAcentral. Lineage: Eukaryota; Metazoa; Mollusca; Gastropoda; Lepetellida; Haliotidae.